GGGGCCGACUGGAAUUGACAGUAGGUGUAAUGCAAGUGUAAGCAUGCAGGGAGUUGUUAGUAUUUCCCUUAAAUAAAACUUUCAUCCUUUUAAUUGGCGAAAGACAAUACGCCCUUGCUGCCUAAUUAGUAUUAGAUAGCAAUGUGUCUCUCUCACCCCACGUUCUGCCGGGUGGGAAUAUGAGACAUCACAAAGCAGAACUGGUAUCAAUAGGGUCGUGAUGUUGGUAUAAGAUUAACCGCGAAUAAGGUUUGGAUUAGGGUGGUUGCUGUCCUUUACAAACUCGAAAACUAAUCGGCAAAUAAGCAUGUAGAAGGCACUUAGUGUUCCUUAUCUGGACCAGAGUUCGAAUCUCUGCGGCUCCACAC
This 368-nucleotide transfer-messenger RNA is filed under the name Cyclobacteriaceae. RNAcentral describes it as "Fabibacter sp013373005 Standard tmRNA". It matches the Rfam family "transfer-messenger RNA". Rfam says of the family: Bacterial tmRNA, also known as 10Sa RNA or SsrA, is named for its dual tRNA and mRNA-like properties. Its role is to liberate the mRNA from a stalled ribosome. RNAcentral also lists the same sequence under 1 other name. Lineage: Bacteria; Pseudomonadati; Bacteroidota; Cytophagia; Cytophagales. The record is from RNAcentral.